CCUACGGGUGGCAGCAGUGAGGAAUAUUGGUCAAUGGAAGCAAGCCUGAACCAGCCAUGCCGCGUGCGGGAAGACGGCUCUAUGAGUUGUAAACUGCUUUUGUCCGAGGGUAAAUCCCGGUACGUGUAUCGGGCUGAGAGUAUCCGACGAAAAAGGAUCGGCUAACUCCGUGCCAGCAGCCGCGGUAAUACGGAGGAUUCAAGCGUUAUCCGGAUUUAUUGGGUUUAAAGGGUGCGUAGGCGGUUCGAUAAGUUAGGGGUGAAAUCCCGGGGCUCAACUCCGGCAGUGCCUCUGAUACUGGCCGGCUAGAGUUGAGUAGCGGUAGGCGGAAUGUAUGGUGUAGCGGUGAAAUGCAUAGAGAGCAUGCAGAACACCGAUUGCGAAGGCAGCUUACCGAAGUCCGACUGACGUUGAGGCACGAAAGCGUGGGGAUCAAACAGGAUUAGAUACCCGGGUAGUC
This 460-nucleotide ribosomal RNA is filed under the name uncultured bacterium. RNAcentral's name for it is "partial 16S ribosomal RNA". It matches the Rfam family "Bacterial small subunit ribosomal RNA", at positions 338 to 795 of the family's 1533-position model. The record is from RNAcentral.